RNAcentral lists this ribosomal RNA (482 nucleotides) under uncultured bacterium. Its description in RNAcentral is "partial 16S ribosomal RNA". It matches the Rfam family "Bacterial small subunit ribosomal RNA", at positions 28 to 507 of the family's 1533-position model. The record is from RNAcentral.
GACGAACGCUGGCGGCGUGCUUAACACAUGCAAGUCGAACGCUGAAGCUCAGCUUGCUGGGUGGAUGAGUGGCGAACGGGUGAGUAACACGUGAGUAACCUGCCCUCUUCUUUGGGAUAACGCCCGGAAACGGGUGCUAAUACUGGAUAUUCACUGAUUCUCGCAUGGGGGUUGGUGGAAAGGUUUUUUCUGGUGGGGGAUGGGCUCGCGGCCUAUCAGCUUGUUGGUGGGGUGAUGGCCUACCAAGGCUUUGACGGGUAGCCGGCCUGAGAGGGUGACCGGUCACAUUGGGACUGAGAUACGGCCCAGACUCCUACGGGAGGCAGCAGUGGGGAAUAUUGCACAAUGGGCGAAAGCCUGAUGCAGCGACGCCGCGUGAGGGAUGGAGGCCUUCGGGGUGUAAACCUCUUUCGCUCAUGGUCAAGCCGCAGCUUGGGGUUGUGGUGAGGGUAGUGGGUAAAGAAGCGCCGGCUAACUACGUG